This 1534-nucleotide ribosomal RNA is filed under the name Bacteroides stercoris. Its description in RNAcentral is "bacterial SSU rRNA". It matches the Rfam family "Bacterial small subunit ribosomal RNA". The record is from RNAcentral. Lineage: Bacteria; Pseudomonadati; Bacteroidota; Bacteroidia; Bacteroidales; Bacteroidaceae.
CUUUUACAAUGAAGAGUUUGAUCCUGGCUCAGGAUGAACGCUAGCUACAGGCUUAACACAUGCAAGUCGAGGGGCAGCAUCAUCAAAGCUUGCUUUGAUGGAUGGCGACCGGCGCACGGGUGAGUAACACGUAUCCAACCUGCCGACAACACUGGGAUAGCCUUUCGAAAGAAAGAUUAAUACCGGAUGGCAUAGUUUUCCCGCAUGGGAUGAUUAUUAAAGAAUUUCGGUUGUCGAUGGGGAUGCGUUCCAUUAGGCAGUUGGCGGGGUAACGGCCCACCAAACCAACGAUGGAUAGGGGUUCUGAGAGGAAGGUCCCCCACAUUGGAACUGAGACACGGUCCAAACUCCUACGGGAGGCAGCAGUGAGGAAUAUUGGUCAAUGGACGAGAGUCUGAACCAGCCAAGUAGCGUGAAGGAUGACUGCCCUAUGGGUUGUAAACUUCUUUUAUACGGGAAUAAAGUGAGCCACGUGUGGCUUUUUGUAUGUACCGUAUGAAUAAGGAUCGGCUAACUCCGUGCCAGCAGCCGCGGUAAUACGGAGGAUCCGAGCGUUAUCCGGAUUUAUUGGGUUUAAAGGGAGCGUAGGCGGGUUGUUAAGUCAGUUGUGAAAGUUUGCGGCUCAACCGUAAAAUUGCAGUUGAUACUGGCGACCUUGAGUGCAACAGAGGUAGGCGGAAUUCGUGGUGUAGCGGUGAAAUGCUUAGAUAUCACGAAGAACUCCGAUUGCGAAGGCAGCUUACUGGAUUGUAACUGACGCUGAUGCUCGAAAGUGUGGGUAUCAAACAGGAUUAGAUACCCUGGUAGUCCACACAGUAAACGAUGAAUACUCGCUGUUGGCGAUAUACUGUCAGCGGCCAAGCGAAAGCAUUAAGUAUUCCACCUGGGGAGUACGCCGGCAACGGUGAAACUCAAAGGAAUUGACGGGGGCCCGCACAAGCGGAGGAACAUGUGGUUUAAUUCGAUGAUACGCGAGGAACCUUACCCGGGCUUAAAUUGCAACUGACGGAACCGGAAACGGUUCUUUCUUCGGACAGUUGUGAAGGUGCUGCAUGGUUGUCGUCAGCUCGUGCCGUGAGGUGUCGGCUUAAGUGCCAUAACGAGCGCAACCCUUACGGGUAGUUACCAUCAGGUUAUGCUGGGGACUCUACCCGGACUGCCGUCGUAAGAUGUGAGGAAGGUGGGGAUGACGUCAAAUCAGCACGGCCCUUACGUCCGGGGCUACACACGUGUUACAAUGGGGGGUACAGAAGGCAGCUACACGGCGACGUGGUGCUAAUCCCAAAAGCCUCUCUCAGUUCGGAUUGGAGUCUGCAACCCGACUCCAUGAAGCUGGAUUCGCUAGUAAUCGCGCAUCAGCCACGGCGCGGUGAAUACGUUCCCGGGCCUUGUACACACCGCCCGUCAAGCCAUGAAAGCCGGGGGUACCUGAAGUACGUAACCGCGAGGAGCGUCCUAGGGUAAAACUGGUGAUUGGGGCUAAGUCGUAACAAGGUAGCCGUACCGGAAGGUGCGGCUGGAACACCUCCUUUCU